UUGGUGGGGUAAGGCCUACCAGGCGACGAUCGGUAGCUGGUCUGAGAGGAUGACCAGCCACACUGGAACUGAGACACGGUCCAGACUCCUACGGGAGGCAGCAGUGGGGAAUAUUGGACAAUGGGGGCAACCCUGAUCCAGCAAUGCCGCGUGUGUGAAGAAGGCCUGAGGGUUGUAAAGCACUUUCAGUGGGGAGGAGGAGUGAUUGUUUAAGAGAUGAUUACUUGGACGUUACCCACAGAAGAAGCACCGGCUAACUCCGUGCCAGCAGCCGCGGUAAUACGGAGGGUGCAAGCGUUAAUCGGAAUUACUGGGCGUAAAGGGUGCGUAGGUGGUUAUGUAAGUUAUGUGUGAAAUCCCUGGGCUCAACCUGGGCAGGUCAUAUAAUACUGCGCAACUCGAGUGUGUGAGAGGGUGUUGGAAUUUCCGGUGUAGCGGUGAAAUGCGUAGAGUUCGGAAGGAACACCACUGUCGAAAGCGGCGUUCCGUCCUAUCUCUACCACUUUACGCCCAACACGUGAAGAUCAAAUACGAUUACAUACCCUGGUAGUCCGCACUAUUAACGAAGUCGACUAGGUGU
This 580-nucleotide ribosomal RNA is filed under the name uncultured Legionella sp. Its description in RNAcentral is "bacterial SSU rRNA". It matches the Rfam family "Bacterial small subunit ribosomal RNA", at positions 249 to 823 of the family's 1533-position model. Lineage: Bacteria; Pseudomonadati; Pseudomonadota; Gammaproteobacteria; Legionellales; Legionellaceae. The record is from RNAcentral.